Long non-coding RNA from Cygnus olor (mute swan), 428 nucleotides. RefSeq lists it as uncharacterized. NCBI's taxonomy places the organism in Eukaryota, Metazoa, Chordata, Aves, Anseriformes, Anatidae. The transcript is spliced from 2 exons. The record is from RefSeq and is a predicted model, not a curated record.
CCGCCUGCGGGGAGCCGCCCCUGGCUCGGCUCGGCUCGGCUCGGCUCGGCUCGGCUCGGCCCGGCCCGGCCCGGGAGUGCCGCCGCCCCGAACGGAGCAGCCGCCGGCCCAGUGAGGGUGAGGGGGGCGCCGCCGCUGCUUGCUGGCUCGUCCCGGCCCGAGGGAACUGUCUGUCCACCCGCACCAUGUUGGACAUGGAGACCUUUGUUGCUCAGCUGUGCACAAGGGAAAUCCCUGAGCCUCCUGCAGUGGCGAGGUGAUGGAGGAGCCUGCGAGCACUGCUCACUGCUUGGACCACCUGGGACCCAUGCUUUCGCAGCUAAAGUGAGAUCUCCUGGCCACACUCCCAUUGUCGGGCAGAAUUGGCCUGAAACAACAACAUAAGAAAAUACUAAUGCCAGUACAAAUAAAUGAGGACUGACAUAAAA